UGAAACAUCUUAGUACCCGGAGGAAGAGAAAGAAAAUUCGAUUCCCUUAGUAGCGGCGAGCGAAACGGGAAGAGCCCAAACCAACAAGCUUGCUUGUUGGGGUUGUAGGACACUCUAUACGGAGUUACAAAGGACGACAUUAGACGAAUCAUCUGGAAAGAUGAAUCAAAGAAGGUAAUAAUCCUGUAGUCGAAAAUGUUGUCUCUCUUGAGUGGAUCCUGAGUACGACGGAGCACGUGAAAUUCCGUCGGAAUCUGGGAGGACCAUCUCCUAAGGCUAAAUACUCUCUAGUGACCGAUAGUGAACCAGUACCGUGAGGGAAAGGUGAAAAGCACCCCGGAAGGGGAGUGAAAUAGAACCUGAAACCGUGUGCUUACAAGUAGUCAGAGCCCGUUAAUGGGUGAUGGCGUGCCUUUUGUAGAAUGAACCGGCGAGUUACGAUUUGAUGCAAGGUUAAGCAGUAAAUGUGGAGCCGUAGCGAAAGCGAGUCUGAAUAGGGCGUUUAGUAUUUGGUCGUAGACCCGAAACCAGGUGAUCUACCCUUGGUCAGGUUGAAGUUCAGGUAACACUGAAUGGAGGACCGAACCGACUUACGUUGAAAAGUGAGCGGAUGAACUGAGGGUAGCGGAGAAAUUCCAAUCGAACCUGGAGAUAGCUGGUUCUCUCCGAAAUAGCUUUAGGGCUAGCCUCAAGUGAUGAUUAUUGGAGGUAGAGCACUGUUUGGACGAGGGGCCCCUCUCGGGUUACCGAAUUCAGACAAACUCCGAAUGCCAAUUAAUUUAACUUGGGAGUCAGAACAUGGGUGAUAAGGUCCGUGUUCGAAAGGGAAACAGCCCAGACCACCAGCUAAGGUCCCAAAAUAUAUGUUAAGUGGAAAAGGAUGUGGCGUUGCCCAGACAACUAGGAUGUUGGCUUAGAAGCAGCCAUCAUUUAAAGAGUGCGUAAUAGCUCACUAGUCGAGUGACACUGCGCCGAAAAUGUACCGGGGCUAAACAUAUUACCGAAGCUGUGGAUUGUCCUUUGGACAAUGGUAGGAGAGCGUUCUAAGGGCGUUGAAGCAUGAUCGUAAGGACAUGUGGAGCGCUUAGAAGUGAGAAUGCCGGUGUGAGUAGCGAAAGACGGGUGAGAAUCCCGUCCACCGAUUGACUAAGGUUUCCAGAGGAAGGCUCGUCCGCUCUGGGUUAGUCGGGUCCUAAGCUGAGGCCGACAGGCGUAGGCGAUGGAUAACAGGUUGAUAUUCCUGUACCACCUAUAAUCGUUUUAAUCGAUGGGGGGACGCAGUAGGAUAGGCGAAGCGUGCGAUUGGAUUGCACGUCUAAGCAGUAAGGCUGAGUAUUAGGCAAAUCCGGUACUCGUUAAGGCUGAGCUGUGAUGGGGAGAAGACAUUGUGUCUUCGAGUCGUUGAUUUCACACUGCCGAGAAAAGCCUCUAGAUAGAAAAUAGGUGCCCGUACCGCAAACCGACACAGGUAGUCAAGAUGAGAAUUCUAAGGUGAGCGAGCGAACUCUCGUUAAGGAACUCGGCAAAAUGACCCCGUAACUUCGGGAGAAGGGGUGCUCUUUAGGGUUAACGCCCAGAAGAGCCGCAGUGAAUAGGCCCAAGCGACUGUUUAUCAAAAACACAGGUCUCUGCUAAACCGUAAGGUGAUGUAUAGGGGCUGACGCCUGCCCGGUGCUGGAAGGUUAAGAGGAGUGGUUAGCUUCUGCGAAGCUACGAAUCGAAGCCCCAGUAAACGGCGGCCGUAACUAUAACGGUCCUAAGGUAGCGAAAUUCCUUGUCGGGUAAGUUCCGACCCGCACGAAAGGCGUAACGAUUUGGGCACUGUCUCAACGAGAGACUCGGUGAAAUCAUAGUACCUGUGAAGAUGCAGGUUACCCGCGACAGGACGGAAAGACCCCGUGGAGCUUUACUGUAGCCUGAUAUUGAAAUUCGGCACAGCUUGUACAGGAUAGGUAGGAGCCUUUGAAACGUGAGCGCUAGCUUACGUGGAGGCGCUGGUGGGAUACUACCCUAGCUGUGUUGGCUUUCUAACCCGCACCACUUAUCGUGGUGGGAGACAGUGUCAGGCGGGCAGUUUGACUGGGGCGGUCGCCUCCUAAAAGGUAACGGAGGCGCUCAAAGGUUCCCUCAGAAUGGUUGGAAAUCAUUCAUAGAGUGUAAAGGCAUAAGGGAGCUUGACUGCGAGACCUACAAGUCGAG
RNAcentral lists this ribosomal RNA (2199 nucleotides) under Staphylococcus aureus. Its description in RNAcentral is "partial 23S ribosomal RNA". It matches the Rfam family "Bacterial large subunit ribosomal RNA", at positions 194 to 2393 of the family's 2925-position model. Lineage: Bacteria; Bacillati; Bacillota; Bacilli; Caryophanales; Staphylococcaceae. The record is from RNAcentral.